This 500-nucleotide long non-coding RNA is filed under the name Homo sapiens (human). RNAcentral's name for it is "non-protein coding lnc-PLA2G3-3:2". The record is from RNAcentral. Lineage: Eukaryota; Metazoa; Chordata; Mammalia; Primates; Hominidae.
GCCUCCAGCUUGCGCAUCAUCUGCGGCCGGGUCCCGAUGAGCCUCCUGUUGCCUCCGCUGGCGCUGCUGCUGCUUCUCGCGGCGCUUGUGGCCCCAGCCACAGCCGCCACUGCCUACCGGCCGGACUGGAACCGUCUGAGCGGCCUAACCCGCGCCCGGGUAGAGGGAUAAGGAAGUAUGGCUUUGGGGAUGUGACUGGAAUAAACGUGAAGGACUCCUGACCUAUCCCAUUUUAUCCCCCUCCAGACCUGCGGGGGAUGACAGCUGAACCGCCUAAAGGAGGUGAAGGCUUUCGUCACGCAGGACAUUCCAUUCUAUCACAACCUGGUGAUGAAACACCUCCCUGGGGCCGACCCUGAGCUCGUGCUGCUGGGCCGCCGCUACGAGGAACUAGAGCGCAUCCCACUCAGUGAAAUGACCCGCGAAGAGAUCAAUGCGCUAGUGCAGGAGCUCGGCUUCUACCGCAAGGCGGCGCCCGACGCGCAGGUGCCCCCCGAGUA